This 313-nucleotide ribosomal RNA is filed under the name uncultured bacterium. Its description in RNAcentral is "bacterial SSU rRNA". It matches the Rfam family "Bacterial small subunit ribosomal RNA", at positions 30 to 341 of the family's 1533-position model. The record is from RNAcentral.
AUUGAACGCUGGCGGCAUGCUUUACACGUGCAAGUCGAACGGUAACAGGCCUUCGGGUGCUGACGAGUGGCGAACGGGUGAGUAAUGCAUCGGAACGUGCCAUUGAGUGGGGGAUAACGGUAGCGAAAGUUACGCUAAUACCGCAUAUUCUGUGAGCAGGAAAGCAGGGGACCGCAAGGCCUUGCGCUCUUUGAGCGGUCCGAUGGUCAGAUUAGCUAGUUGGUGAGGUAAAGGCUUACCAAGGCGACGAUCGUGUAGCGGGUCUGAGAGGAUGAUCCGCCACACUGGAACUGAGACACGGUCCAGACUCCUA